GAGCAAUCCACGAAACGGAGGCAGGGGCUCAUCCCAGAUGGCCUGGCUGCUCUCUGUGAAGAUGCUCAGUCUCUCCUACUAGGUGUUCAUUGAGAAAAAACAUUGGUCUCAUUGAGGCCCUUGGUCUCUGCUACACCAUCGAUGCUGGGCCCUCACUAGGACUCUCUCUUCCUGGACAGUCCAUUGCUGCCCUGUGUUGUGGAGAUUCUGCAGCCCUGGGUCUGCAGGACUGAAGCAAGAUCCUAGUUAGUCUUAACAAUAAAAACCUGGAGUCACGUAAAA
Molecule: non-coding RNA, 282 nt
Organism: Peromyscus maniculatus bairdii (prairie deer mouse)
Lineage: Eukaryota; Metazoa; Chordata; Mammalia; Rodentia; Cricetidae
Source: RefSeq, a predicted model, not a curated record